AUCCAGAUGACGAGACUCAAAUGGGACGAAACGUGUGUCCUGGAU
Molecule: non-coding RNA, 45 nt
Organism: Schistosoma haematobium
Lineage: Eukaryota; Metazoa; Platyhelminthes; Trematoda; Strigeidida; Schistosomatidae
Source: Rfam